UCAAGCUCUGAUGCUGCUGGUUAAUAGGUUGGAAACCAUACAACAAAAAUAGACUUGGCUAAAAUGAGGUAUUUACUGACUUAUGUGUCAGAAAGGGAAGAAGUAAUUUUUUUUCUUGACCUAGAAAACUCAGUCCUUCACCCUUAAGAUCAAACUGUACAAAACACAAUGCACAGGGCGAUUUGUUUCUAAGUUAAAAGGUUUUAGCUUUACUGAUCCUUGAAGAUUUAAAAAUGUUAAUGAUUAUUUUUACAACACCCAGUUUUUGGAUAAUUUAUAAGUGAUUAUAUCUUUAAAGAAUACUUUCAUGACUCUGUGUCUGUGUGUGUCUGUGUGCCUUUCUUGAGGAGUCGCAAGUGUCAUAUUCCUCCAUUCCCCAUCCUAUUGGUGUGCUUAUUUAAUAACACACAGUCACAUAAGAGAUAGCAUGUGCACAUGAAGGCAGAGCUUCUUUGCUUUUCUCUGCCUUCUUGACUUGAGACUUGAGCCAAAGAAUAGCCAGUCUGCUAUAAUCCUGAACUUAGCAGAAGGUAAUUUAUAAAUCAGGCCCUAAAGAAAUAUGAAAAAUAUCAAAUCUCCUUUCUGUUUGGAAUGAAAUUACCAUUUUUAAAAAAUUCAGUUAGCUAGUUGCAAAAUCCAAAAUCUAGUUUCUUCUUGCAACCACCACAGCUUUUUUUUGUAAAAAAAGUAAAAUCACACUCCUCUAAAUCCUUCUAAAAAAAAAUGAGAGGAAGUGAAAAAGGAAACAUGGUUGUAUUUAUUUCCAUAUACUUUAUUGUUCUUUCAUAUAUUUCAUGUAGAAACAUAGAUACAUCUAUUCUACAAAUAGAUUUAUAUUACAGUACUAGCAUAUUGAAAGAAAAACCCAACCUGAUAUUUUUCUUUUUGUCAGUUUUCCUGAAGUGAAUGAGACUCUUUUCUGUUUAUUUAAUAAUCACAAAACUAAAUUAUACUGCUCUUUAACACCAAUGGUCUUUACUGAAAGACCUAAAGGCAAAACUCUGUCAUAUCUGUAGUGAUAUGGGUAGAAGUCCUGGAAAUCUCAAACACUGUCAGAAGCCUUUCAUUUCUAAAAAGUCUUUUGUGUUAUACACUCUUUUCAUUUUCUAGACUUCUACAAUACCUGUUAAUCUGCUGUAUAUAUUUUCAAGUUUGUAGGGAUAUCUGUUACCAUGUUACCAUGUAAUUAUGGUGUUUAACAGCAUUAAAAAAAUUGGACCUAAUCUCCUAGAGAUGUGCUUUGUGGUUUUAAAUAGUCCUAUUUAAAUACUUCUCUGUUCCAGAAAUAACUGUGAUCUUUAGAUUGCCUUCCUUAGGAAAUUCAGUCAUCCUGGGAAGUGGCAUUUGAUGCACUGUCAUGAGCUGCAGAUCAAACAGAAACUUCUCUCACUGUGAGGAAAAGGGAAUGAUUCUACCCUUGUAAGGGAAGGAGAAACUGAUGCAGUUUACUUGUAGAACUAUUUGUGAAGAGUGUUGCUUGUAUCCCCAUGGGAUGAUAUGAUCACACAUAUUAUAUUGUCUGCACUCUCAGGAAUCCCUGGCAUGAGGCUCCAAGGACAUUUUGGGAUAAAUUAUGAAAAACCAGCACAUUGCAAAUGAGGACUGUAUAGCAUUCAUGUGCACGUUUCUGACACCGUUGCUUGAAAAACUUGCAGUUUCUGCUGCAGAUAUAUUCAAAUCUUGAGACCAAGACAACCUGGAUAUUUUUGCAGCCAACUUUUUAAUCAAAAGUAGGAUGUUCUGGAAUUUCAGUGCACUUCAAGGAAUUGCAGAAGCAUAGACUGGAUAGUGCUGAAUUAAAGUGUCAGCUCUAUUGUCUUCUGAUCAAUACGAGGCCUUAAAGAACCCAGAGACACAGACAAAAAAAGAAAAGUACAUGAAGAACAAAACAGAUGUAAAUACAUUAAAUCUCUUGUUUGUAAGUGGCUUAAACUAGCCACCUUUUUAAUGGCUGUUCUUGCAGAUUGAAAUGAACCUUUUUUGGGUUCUGAUCCAGCAAGGUCCUGAAUUUAAUUAUUAUCUUCAAGCAACAGUCAAGUUCAAUGGGUCCAUGUUCAAAAUUACAGGACUGUGCUGAAUUUUAAGAGAUCUGAAUUUGGCUGAGGAUGAGCAAGCAGCUGUAGCCUUCAACCAUUCUUCUCGAGAAUUCUACAGGAGGUCUGAGCAAAAGAGAAUACCUGAUUAAUCACCCUGUCCCAAACCAGCCACAGGAAUUCAUUGCUUCUGGUGUGUCUGGGCUUGACAGAUGUCUGCCAGAUCAUUGUGCAUUACUGUUCGAACAUCUCGGAAAUUUUCAAGAUACAGAUGUAAGAAGCAACAUAAAAUGUCAAAGUCACACUUUUUUGUAAGAUACAGAAUAACCGAGAAAGUGACAUGAGACAAGAGCCCUCAAGAUGUUAAAAUUUUUCUUGAAUAUUUGACUUUUCCACAUGCUCAUAUCUCAACCGACAGCAUGAGACACUGCUUGAUAUUGGCUACACAGAAUAAACUUGCAAAGCAUAACAGCAAAGAUCCUUAUCUGACUUUAUGGGACCCAAACCUCAUUUUUAAAGAACUGGCUCUGUAGCCUAUCUACAUCUUGACAAAUGGUUAAAAUGAACCAGCUGCUGGUUUCAGAUACUUCUUUCCAUUCUUCAAUAAAUUGCACAGUUGCUGUUCAGAACCUUUAUGCAACCAACUGUAUUUUUUAAAGUGUAGACAGAAGACUGGUCUUGAUGUGCAGGAUGGGUCUGACUUUUGUAAUAAUGAAGGGAUCAAGAGCAGCGGCACCAGUAGCAGCUGAGCCAAGAGGGAGCUCGGCUGAGCCCAAAGGCACACAGGGGAGUGGUAGGAAAAUGGCAACCCCACAGCGCUUUUGUUCCCAGUGAUAAACACCUUUCUGGGGGUAAAACACCUCCUCUUUUUGUAAGGUUUUGCUGUUAAUGUUGCUGUUGUUAUUGUGCUUGUCUUAUCCUUGCUUUGUGCUUUCAAUAAAUUGUGAGCCCAACCCAUAUUAUCUGCUUUACUAGAAAGGGCGACAGAAGGGGAGUGGAUUAUUUGGAGUUUAAUUUCUGUCUGAUACU
Non-coding RNA from Lonchura striata (white-rumped munia), 3062 nucleotides. The record is from RefSeq and is a predicted model, not a curated record. Lineage: Eukaryota; Metazoa; Chordata; Aves; Passeriformes; Estrildidae.